Acanthosepion pharaonis is the source of this 99-nucleotide non-coding RNA. The record is from the annotation of a GenBank genome assembly. NCBI's taxonomy places the organism in Eukaryota, Metazoa, Mollusca, Cephalopoda, Sepiida, Sepiidae.
AUUGAAUCACAGGUUCUCAUAUGAUCACUGAAGUAAAACAACUUAAAGCCUGGUCAGUUUCUAGAUGGGUGACCACUUGGGAGUACCAAGUGCUGUAUG